Molecule: ribosomal RNA, 456 nt
Filed under: uncultured bacterium
Lineage: Bacteria
Description: bacterial SSU rRNA
Rfam family: Bacterial small subunit ribosomal RNA
Source: RNAcentral
UACGGAAGGCAGCAGGGGGAAUAUUGCACAAUGGGCGAAAGCCUGAUGCAGCUAUGCCGCGUGUAUGAAGAAGGCCUUAGGGUUGUAAAGUACUUUCAUCGGGGAGGAAAAACAAAACUAAUAAUUUUAUUUCUUGACGUUACCCGAAAAAGAAGCACCGGCUAACUCCGUGCCAGCAGCCGCGGUAAUACGGAGGGUGCUAGCGUUAAUCAGAAUUACUGGGCGUAAAGAGCACGUAGGUGGUUUUUUUAAGUCAGAUGUGAAAUCCCUGGGCUUAACCUAGGAACUGCAUUUUGAAACUGAAAUACUAGAGUAUCGUAGGGGGAGGUAGAAUUCUAGGUGUAGCGGUGAAAUGCGUAGAUAUCUGGAGGAAUACCUGUGGCGAAAGCGGCCUCCUAAACGAAUACUGACACUGAGGGUGCGAAAGCGUGGGGAGCAAACAGGGAUUAGAUACCC